UACAGAGGUCUCAAGCGUUGUUCGGAUUCAUUGGGCGUAAAGGGUGUGUAGGUGGCGCUGUAAGUCGGGUGUGAAAUUUCGAGGCUUAACUUCGAAACUGCAUUCGAUACUGCCGUGCUUGAGGACUGGAGAGGAGACUGGAAUUUACGGUGUAGCGGUGAAAUGCGUAGAUAUCGUAAGGAAGACCAGUGGCGAAGGCGGGUCUCUGGACAGUUCCUGACGCUGAGGCACGAAGGCCAGGGGAGCAAACGGG
This 253-nucleotide ribosomal RNA is filed under the name uncultured bacterium. Its description in RNAcentral is "partial 16S ribosomal RNA". It matches the Rfam family "Bacterial small subunit ribosomal RNA", at positions 524 to 776 of the family's 1533-position model. The record is from RNAcentral.